This 253-nucleotide ribosomal RNA is filed under the name uncultured bacterium. Its description in RNAcentral is "partial 16S ribosomal RNA". It matches the Rfam family "Bacterial small subunit ribosomal RNA", at positions 524 to 776 of the family's 1533-position model. The record is from RNAcentral.
UACGAAGGGUGCAAACGUUGCUCGGAAUCAUUGGGCGUAAAGCGCACGUAGGCGGCCUCAUAAGUCGGAUGUGAAAUCCCUCGGCUCAACCGAGGACGUGCAUUCGAAACUGUGAGACUCGAGUAUGGAAGAGGGUCGCGGAAUUCCCGGUGUAGAGGUGAAAUUCGUAGAUAUCGGGAGGAACACCAGUGGCGAAGGCGGCGACCUGGGCCAAUACUGACGCUGAGGUGCGAAAGCGUGGGGAGCAAACAGG